GACCAGCUUUUUUCUCAGCGAAAAGGCUCAAGGCCAUACGGACAGCCGGGUCAAACUGCCGA
This 62-nucleotide small RNA is filed under the name uncultured Ruthenibacterium sp. RNAcentral's name for it is "Streptococcus sRNA SpF59 (ldcC RNA)". It matches the Rfam family "Streptococcus sRNA SpF59 (ldcC RNA)". Lineage: Bacteria; Bacillati; Bacillota; Clostridia; Eubacteriales; Oscillospiraceae. The record is from RNAcentral.